GCCUGCCCAGUGAACACAUUAAACGGCCGCGGUAUCCUAACCGUGCAAAGGUAGCGCAAUCACUUGUUCUUUAAAUCAGGACUAGUAUGAACGGCGACAUGAGGAUUAACUUGUCUCUCAUAAUAAGUCUAUGAAACUGAUCUCCCAGUUCAAAAGCUGGAAUAAUACCACAAGACGAGAAGACCCUGUGGAGCUUCAGCCCCGCGGGGCCAUCACUAAUGGCCCCCGGUCUUUAGUUGGGGCGACUUUGGAGAAAAACAGAACCUCCAACAACAAAACUUAAGACAGCCAUGCCUAUACCACCACCAACGCACGACCCAAUACAAUUGAAUAACGAACCAAGUUACCCCAGGGAUAACAGCGCAAUCUUCUUCUAGAGUCCCUAUCGACAAGAAGGCUUACGACCUCGAUGUUGGAUCCGGAUACCCAAAUAGUGCAGCCGCUAUUAAAGGUUCGUUUGUUCAACGAUUAAUAAUCCCACGUGAUCUGAGUUCAGACCGG
RNAcentral lists this ribosomal RNA (501 nucleotides) under Amphisbaena cuiabana. Its description in RNAcentral is "partial 16S ribosomal RNA". It matches the Rfam family "Bacterial large subunit ribosomal RNA", at positions 1857 to 2619 of the family's 2925-position model. The record is from RNAcentral. Lineage: Eukaryota; Metazoa; Chordata; Lepidosauria; Squamata; Amphisbaenidae.